This 485-nucleotide ribosomal RNA is filed under the name uncultured bacterium. RNAcentral's name for it is "partial 16S ribosomal RNA". It matches the Rfam family "Bacterial small subunit ribosomal RNA", at positions 30 to 508 of the family's 1533-position model. The record is from RNAcentral.
AUUGAACGCUGGCGGCAGGCCUAACACAUGCAAGUCGAGCGGAUGAAGGGAGCUUGCUCCUGGAUUCAUCGGCGGACGGGUGAGUAAUGCCUAGGAAUCUGCCUGGUCGUGGGGGAUAACGUCCGGAAACGGGCGCUAAUACCCCAUACGUCCUGUGGGAGAAAUUGGGUGAUCUUCGGACCUCACGCUAACAUAUGAGCCUAGGUCUGAUUAGCUAGUUGGUGGGGUAAAGGCCUACCAAGGCGACGAUCCGUAACUGGUCUGAGAGGAUGAUCAGUCAAACUGGAACUGAGACACGGUCCAGAAUACUACGGGAGGCAGCAGUGGGGAAUAUUGGACAAAGGGCGAAAGCGUGAUCAAGCCAUGCCGGGUGUGAGAAGAAGGUAGUCGGAUUGUGAAGGACUUUAAGUUGGGAGGAAGGGCAGUAAGUUAAUACCUUGCUGUUUUGACGUUACCAACAGAAUAAGCACCGGCUAACUUCGUGC